UGUGGCUUAGUUUUCAGGGCCCUUUCCCUGAUGUCUGCCCUGAGGCUCCCAAGUGAGGUGGCUGAGAAGGAUCUGCAGACUGUUUCCUGUGCCACUUAGGACAGGUUUCCGGCCUCAGCAGCCAAUCUAUUCAUCUAGGAAUGUUUCAAACCUAACUCCUUUAAAAUCUACUGUGAUCCGCACUUCACCUGGAUGUCUGCCAGCUAUUAUGGUCUCCUAAGAUGGCAGACAUCAAAAGAUGCCACCUUCAUUUAGACUGGGCCUUCCCACUUCAUCUAACCUAAUCAAGAAAAUUUCUUCAAGUAACUGAUGAAGAAAAUGUCUGACAGCUUACCUCUUGGUUGUUUACAGAUCCAGUGCAGAUUGACUUCAAGGCUCUUGGAAGAUUGGAAAAGGACAAAAAGACCCAGUAACAUGUUUGGACUUGAAAAUCAGAACAAGCAGGCAAUCUGUAGAGCUAUCUUGGAAAUAAGCUAUGAAAAGAUAACAUCCCCACCUUGUGAUCUUGGCAGAACCCUUCCUACACUG
This 528-nucleotide long non-coding RNA is filed under the name Cricetulus griseus (Chinese hamster). RNAcentral describes it as "lncRNA (ENSCGRG00015036367.1)". Lineage: Eukaryota; Metazoa; Chordata; Mammalia; Rodentia; Cricetidae. The record is from RNAcentral.